Molecule: long non-coding RNA, 1204 nt
Organism: Amphiprion ocellaris (clown anemonefish)
Lineage: Eukaryota; Metazoa; Chordata; Actinopteri; Pomacentridae
Source: Ensembl
UAGAUAAUAUAGAAGACAGGACGUUUGGUAGCAUCUCUGGCUGCUGUUGACCUUGUUUUUGGAGUAAAACACGGUGGAAGCUGAAUUAGUGAGGAUGACUCCUGCUCCUGUCAUCUCUAAGCUCCUCACACAUCUUUACCUGCACAUGAGGAAAAUCACUCCUGUAGAAUGCAGAACCUCUGGGGAUUCUGUGGAUCCUGUGGGUUGCAGGGUGGGUCCUACCUAGACCAGGCUGAUCCUGGACCAUCCCACAGAUGCUCCAUCAGAUCUGGAUGUGGGGAGUGUGGAACCCAGAUGUUCAGAGGGAGAUGAUGCCACAUCUGGUCCAGCUGAUGGAAGGUCUUGAAGUUCUCUGACUGGCCUGGACUGAAGAUGGUCGUCUCACUGGAUUUAAGGUUCAGAUGCUCAGUAACAAACUCCACCAAUGAGCCAACAGGGAAGCUUUAGGUUUAUUAAAUGUUGCUAUGAAGGUUUCGCUGUUUUUCUUUGUGAAUGCAAUGAGCUCCAACUGAAACUUAAAUUAGAACUUAGAAGUAAAUCCUUCCAUCUGAAAUGAUUUAGUUGCAUUAAUAACCUCAUAAUAUUCUAAUUUUUAUUCCAGUCUUGGUUGGAAAUAGAAUCUCUGUAUUGAUUCAGGUAAAAACUGAACUUCACAGCAUGUUGGAGCAAAACAACCAGAUGAAAACUGUGAUGGUGUUGGAUUGUCAGACUGUAAUGUUGCAGCUCAAAGCAGCUUUUCUAGCUCAGUUCAUUCUGACAUUCAGCUAUGAAUCAACACAGCAGAUGGUGAUCCAUGCUGUGGAAGUCUCACAUCUCCUGAUUUAAUGGAGCUGCUUUGCACUUUUUACACUGUUUAUUCACCAACACUUUAUUUAAUAAAAGUCUCAUCUAGUUUUUAUGAGGAAUGUGAUGUUUUAAUUUCUCUGUGAAUAACUGCAGUCUAAUGCAACAGCUGGAAUUGUAACAUCUGUCCUGAUAUUGAUCAUGAAGUAUUGAUCAGAAUACUUAUGGUCAGCAGUCAUCCCUGAAAUUUUACAUUAAAAUCUUUACUUGUGUUGUGAACUUUGGUAAGAAGCAGAAACUUUAGCGUUGCCAUGGAUACAUGAGUGUUAAAUUCUGUCCAUGUUUCAUUUUGGGAAAUUUAGUCCAGCAGAUGAGUUUGUUUUUACUGCCAGGUACCAUUCAUUCUCUACAUGAGAACUUU